Molecule: small RNA, 824 nt
Filed under: Histoplasma ohiense
Lineage: Eukaryota; Fungi; Ascomycota; Eurotiomycetes; Onygenales; Ajellomycetaceae
Description: hypothetical lncRNA
Source: RNAcentral
AUGCAUGGUUGAAGCUUUCGGGGACGAGGAUUUAGCUGUGCCAAGCCGUUGUUGAGCUACGGUGUUACUGGCUGACGCCGCCAAUCACGGCCCACUCGAUGGCCCGUUAUCACCAGAGUCCUGGUCAAUAGGAUCCCUGAACUCCAGGUGCGCUGCGUGAUGCAUUUUUGCUCCUGGCAUGAUAAGCUCAAGCUGUCCCUCCCGCAUGGCAUAUGUUGCAUUCUUUCUCACCAAGGUCCAGCCGCUGAACAGCCUCCCAUGCGCAAUUGAUCAGGAAGACACACAUGGCUACCAACGAUGUCCCAGCCAAAGGUUGUUUUCCAACAACGAUGGUCCCGAAACUUAAAUCCGUAUUUGUGGCUUGCUUGCGUCUGAAAAAAGAGUUUAUCAUAUUUCUCCCCGCCUUCGAGAAAAGUUUGUGAAUCGUUUCUCUACAUGUGUCAAGAAAUAACAAAGCAAACAGAAUGGGCAUUGAGCAUUUUCAAUGAUCACAGCGCCUGGGAAGCAGAAUUAUCGGCAUUUGUAUUAUAUACAUCACAAAAUCACAAUCUGGCCUUCUUAAAACUGUGGCGUUAAAACUCUCAACUAAGGAGGCGAUGAUCAUUCUCACCAAUGCAGCUGCAGGAAGAGGAUCAAUCAAACCCCCAAAAAUGCAGGCUCGAGUCCUGCAGGACGAUUCAGUGCAUGUCUAUCACUACGAGUAGUUAUAGCUAAAGAGCAUUUAGUCCCGUGGCAGUUGUGAUGACAAAAUAUUCAGAUAAAUAGUUAAUGCAAAACGGAAAAAAAGGAGGAUCAUCAAGAACUGAAACCUAUCACAGACACAC